GAAGAAAGAGGGAGGAGGGAGGAACACAGGCAAGUCGAACGGAAAGGCCCUGCUUUUGUGGGGUGCUAGAGUGGCGAACGGGUGAGUAACACGUGAGUAACAUGCACUUGACUUUGGGAUAACUUCAGGAAACUGGGGCUAAUACCGGAUAGGAGCUCCUGCUGCAUGGUGGGGGUUGGAAAGUUUCGGCGGUUGGGGAUGGACUCGCGGCUUAUCAGCUUGUUGGUGGGGUAGUGGCUUACCAAGGCUUUGACGGGUAGCCGGCCUGAGAGGGUGACCGGCCACAUUGGGACUGAGAUACGGCCCAGACUCCUACGGGAGGCAGCAGUGGGGAAUAUUGCACAAUGGGCGGAAGCCUGAUGCAGCAACGCCGCGUGCGGGAUGACGGCCUUCGAUUUGUAAACCGCUUUCGCCUGUGACGAAGCGUGAGUGACGGUAAUGGGUAAAGAAGCACCGGCUAACUACGUC
This 468-nucleotide ribosomal RNA is filed under the name uncultured bacterium. RNAcentral describes it as "partial 16S ribosomal RNA". It matches the Rfam family "Bacterial small subunit ribosomal RNA", at positions 38 to 507 of the family's 1533-position model. The record is from RNAcentral.